UACGAAGGGGGCUAGCGUUGCUCGGAAUCACUGGGCGUAAAGCGCACGUAGGCGGCUUUUUAAGUCAGGGGUGAAAUCCUGGAGCUCAACUCCAAAACUGCCUUUGAUACUGGGAAGCUUGAGUCCGGGAGAGGUGAGUGGAACUCCGAGUGUAGAGGUGAAAUUCGUAGAUAUUCGGAAGAACACCAGUGGCGAAGGCGGCUCACUGGCCCGGUACUGACGCUGAGGUGCGAAAGCGUGGGGAGCAAACAGG
This 253-nucleotide ribosomal RNA is filed under the name uncultured bacterium. Its description in RNAcentral is "partial 16S ribosomal RNA". It matches the Rfam family "Bacterial small subunit ribosomal RNA", at positions 524 to 776 of the family's 1533-position model. The record is from RNAcentral.